GAGGGUAUAGCUCAGUGAUAGAAUGCGUGCUUAGCUAGCAUGCACGAGGUCCUGGGUUCAAACCCGAGUACCUCCA
Molecule: transfer RNA, 76 nt
Filed under: Camelus bactrianus (Bactrian camel)
Lineage: Eukaryota; Metazoa; Chordata; Mammalia; Artiodactyla; Camelidae
Also listed under: 2 other names
Rfam family: tRNA
About the family: Transfer RNA (tRNA) molecules are approximately 80 nucleotides in length.
Source: Rfam by way of RNAcentral